CCCUGCCAUUUGUACACACCGCCCGUCGCUACUACCGAUUGAAUGGAUUAGUGAGCUUCAAGGAUUGAAUUAUUAUUGGUUCGCCAUGUAUGAUUUGAGAAUUGAAUCAAACUUGCUCAUUUAGAGGAAGUAAAAGUCGUAACAAGGUCUCC
This 152-nucleotide ribosomal RNA is filed under the name uncultured eukaryote. RNAcentral describes it as "partial small subunit ribosomal RNA". It matches the Rfam family "Eukaryotic small subunit ribosomal RNA", at positions 1651 to 1804 of the family's 1831-position model. The record is from RNAcentral.